CAACGCCGCGUGAAUGACGAAGUACUUCGGUAUGUAAAGUUCUUUUAUCAAGGAAGAAUGACUCGUGGAAAAACGAGAGUGACGGUACUUGAUGAAUAAGCCCCGGCUAACUAUGUGCCAGCAGCCGCGGUAAUA
This 135-nucleotide ribosomal RNA is filed under the name bacterium enrichment culture clone 4/04bandM. RNAcentral describes it as "partial 16S ribosomal RNA". It matches the Rfam family "Bacterial small subunit ribosomal RNA", at positions 392 to 525 of the family's 1533-position model. The record is from RNAcentral.